RNAcentral lists this ribosomal RNA (254 nucleotides) under uncultured bacterium. RNAcentral's name for it is "partial 16S ribosomal RNA". It matches the Rfam family "Bacterial small subunit ribosomal RNA", at positions 524 to 776 of the family's 1533-position model. The record is from RNAcentral.
UACGUAGGGCGCAAGCGUUGUCCGGAAUUAUUGGGCGUAAAGAGCUCGUAGGCGGUUUGUCGCGUCUGCUGUGAAAACUGGAGGCUCAACCGUCCAGCCUGCAGUGGGUACGGGCAGACUAGAGUGCGGUAGGGGAGAUUGGAAUUCCUGGUGUAGCGGUGGAAUGCGCAGAUAUCAGGAGGAACACCGAUGGCGAAGGCAGAUCUCUGGGCCGUAACUGACGCUGAGGAGCGAAAGCAUGGGGAGCGAACAGG